AAUAUACAGUAAUAACAUCGUAUUAUCCUCUAUUUAUCAGAUAACUCUCUUUAGGGCAGAGGAAAAAUAAAGGUUUUCGUAAAAUUUUGGCUCUUUUAGUAAAAUAUGAGCAGAGGUGUUUAGUAUUCUCCCUUUGUUUAUUGAUUGUGAAAUGUAUUAAUGGAGGGAACUUUAAAUAUUGGGAAAGAUUUUAAUAGAUUUUUCGUCAAAACUUCAAUAUAUCAAUGGCCCAAAGCUCAGCAUUUGUAAAUUGUCCCGUCUGCUCACGAUCGUUUGUCAGCUGGACCAUAAACCAGCAUAUCGAAGAAUGUCUGCAGCGAAGCGAAGAUAAGACUGCACCAUCGGGAUCGAACAAAAAUGAUCAGUUGAGCACAACCCAUUCUCUGAAUACAUUGUCAAAAAGUCCAGAGAUCACGCAUAACAGAAAGAGUUUAAAGUCGACUGACUCUGGUUCUUGCAACAGGUUGUCAAACAGUCCAGAAAUUGACGAAAGUACAAAGAAUAUGGCUUCCUUUCGUAGUCCCCCUCUCAAGAGAGCGAAGGUGGAAAGUUUUAAAACCGGACCAGUUGUGAAUACUCAAACAAAAGGAGGUACAUCAAAACAAAACGAUCAAACACCGAGAAGGAACAAGUUUGUUCCACUAGCAGAGAAACUACGUCCUAAAACACUAGAAGAGUAUGUUGGUCAAGCUAAAGUUCUUGGGGAGAGGUCUAUGCUUAAGAAGCUCUUGGAGUCUCAUGAUGUUCCAUCCAUGAUAUUCUGGGGACCACCAGGCUGUGGCAAGACAACACUGGCUAAUAUCAUUGCAAACAAUACAAAACAAGCAAGUGCAAUGAGGUUUGUGAAACUGUCAGCAACCAUGUCUGGGGUUGCUGAGGUCAAAGAAGUCAUUAAAAUAGCAAAGAAUGAACAAUCGCUAUUUCAACGAAAGACAAUCCUGUUUGUUGAUGAAAUACAUCGAUUCAACAAGAUGCAACAGGAUACAUUUCUACCACAUGUUGAAAAUGGCACAAUCACAAUGAUUGGUGCAACCACUGAAAACCCAUCAUUCCAUGUGAACACAGCAUUACUCAGCCGAUGUCGAGUUAUUGUGCUUGAGAAAUUGUCCACAGAAAAUCUCAUGGCAAUACUUGCAUCUGGUGUCAGCGCUCUUGGAGGAGUGGUGUGUGAUAAUGUCAAAGAUAUUUCUUUAUACAAUGGUGAUGAAUCAAGCAGAGAUGUAAAGAUUGCUGUGGAAAAAGAUUCGUUACGUUUGCUCGCCAAUUUAUGCGAUGGUGAUGCACGAAAUGCUUUGAAUGGUUUAGAAAUGGCAGUUCAGUCGAAAUUGAAUAGCCAGCAGAGUCAUUCAAGGCCUCCUUUGAUCACAGUUGCUGAUACAAAGGAAAGUUUUCAAAGAUCUCAUGUGUCGUACGAUCGUAAUGGAGAGGAACAUUACAACAUCAUCUCAGCCUUGCAUAAAUCUGUGCGUGGUGGAGAUGAUAAUGCAGCGUUGUAUUGGUUGGGGAGGAUGUUGGUUGGUGGGGAAGAUCCCAUGUAUAUUGCAAGAAGAUUGGUGAGAAUGGCUAGUGAAGAUAUAGGACUUGCAGACCCGCAGGCUUUGAAUCAAGCUGUUUCAGCAUUUCAAGCGUGUCAUUUCAUUGGUCGACCUGAAUGUGAUGUUAUCCUGGCUCAAGCAGCCGUUUAUCUCGCGAGAGCUCCGAAGUCUGUCGAGGUUUACAAGGCGUAUGGUAAGGUCGCAGAACAUAUCAAAUCCUACGAGGGAACAUUACCCGGGGUUCCACUGCAUCUCCGCAACGCUCCCACCAAACUUAUGAAAAAUCUUGGUUAUUCAAAAGGGUACAAAUAUAACCCGGACUACGAUGGUCCCGUUGACCAGGAGUAUCUACCCUCGGAAUUGAAGGGAAUCGACUUUUUCAAAGAUGGAAAAUAGGAAAAUGUAUAUAAUACCCCGUUCGCCUCUCACAGAUUCCCAACUUGUGAUAAAUUUAGCCAGCACUCUGGCAGACAGUUUUGUAGUAAAGCUGAUGUACAAUACAGCUCAAAUAUUUCACUCUGAUAAUCCAACCUUAAUAUCUUUAUCCUC
RNAcentral lists this unclassified non-coding RNA (2084 nucleotides) under Dendronephthya gigantea. RNAcentral describes it as "aTPase WRNIP1-like, transcript variant X2". Lineage: Eukaryota; Metazoa; Cnidaria; Anthozoa; Malacalcyonacea; Nephtheidae. The record is from RNAcentral.